This 496-nucleotide ribosomal RNA is filed under the name uncultured bacterium. Its description in RNAcentral is "partial 16S ribosomal RNA". It matches the Rfam family "Bacterial small subunit ribosomal RNA", at positions 29 to 507 of the family's 1533-position model. The record is from RNAcentral.
AUGAACGCUGGCGGCGUGCCUAAUACAUGCAAGUCGAGCGAACAGACGAGGAGCUUGCUCCUCUGACGUUAGCGGCGGACGGGUGAGUAACACGUGGAUAACCUACCUAUAAGACUGGGAUAACUUCGGGAAACCGGAGCUAAUACCGGAUAAUAUAUUGAACCGCAUGGUUCAAUAGUGAAAGACGGUUUUGCUGUCACUUAUAGAUGGAUCCGCGCCGCAUUAGCUAGUUGGUAAGGUAACGGCUUACCAAGGCAACGAUGCGUAGCCGACCUGAGAGGGGGAUCCGCCACACCGGAACUUGGACCACGUCCCGACUCCUUCGGGAGGGCGGCGGUGGGAAUUCUUCGGCAUGGGGCGAAGCCCUACCGGGGCACCGCCGCGGGGUUGAUGAGGGUCUUGGAUCCGUAAACCCCUGUUAUUGGGAAAAACAAAAUGUGUAGGUACUAUUCACGGUUUGACGGUACCUAAUCAGAAAGCCACGGCUAACUACGUG